GAAAUUAUAAUCCGGCGAGGGGAAAGGCGGAGAGUUGUAGCUGGCCUCUAGGGGCAUGUGCACGCUCUCUUCCGGACCUUUCGCCGUAUGGGCGCGGGGCGACCCGCGUCUUCAUAUACCUCUUCGUGUAGAAAGUCUUUGAAUGUUUUACCAUCAUCGAGUCGCGACUUCUAGGAGACGCGAUUCUUUGAGAAAAAAGUUAUUACAACUUUCAGCAACGGAUCUCUUGGCUCUCGCAUCGAUGAAGAACGCAGCGAAUCGCGAUAUGUAAUGUGAAUUGCAGAUCUACAGUGAAUCAUCGAAUCUUUGAACGCACCUUGCGCUCCUCGGUGUUCCGAGGAGCAUGCCUGUUUGAGUGUCAGUAAAUUCUCAACCCCUCUCGAUUUGCUUCGAGCGGGUGCUUGGAUGUUGGGGGCUGCCGGAGACACUGGAUUCAUCCAGGACUCGGGCUCCUCUUAAAUGAAUCGGCUCGCGGUCGACUUUCGACUUUGCAUGACAAGGCCUUUGGCGUGAUAAUGAUCGCCGUUCGCCGAAGUGCAAGACAGAAUGGUCCCGUGCCUCUAAUGCGUCGACGCCUCUAGGGGCGUCUUCCUCAUUGACGUUUGACCUCAAAU
This 614-nucleotide small RNA is filed under the name uncultured Suillus. RNAcentral describes it as "eukaryotic LSU rRNA". The stretch from base 207 to 361 matches the Rfam family "5.8S ribosomal RNA". Lineage: Eukaryota; Fungi; Basidiomycota; Agaricomycetes; Boletales; Suillaceae. The record is from RNAcentral.